AUUGGACGCUGGCGGCAUGCCUUACACAUGCAAGUCGAACGGUAACAGGUUAAGCUGACGAGUGGCGAACGGGUGAGUAACACAUCGGAACGUGCCCAAUCGUGGGGGAUAACGCAGCGAAAGCUACGCUAAUACCGCAUACGACCUACGGAUGAAAGCGGGGGAUCGCAAGACCUCGCGCGAAUGGUGCGGCCGAUGGCAGAUUAGGUAGUUGGUGGGGUAAAGGCUCACCAAGCCGACGAUCUGUAGCUGGUCUGAGAGGACGACCAGCCACACCGGGACUGAGACACGGCCCAGACUCCUACGGGAGGCAGCAGUGGGGAAUUUUGGACAAUGGGCGCAAGCCUGAUCCAGCAAUGCCGCGUGCAGGAUGAAGGCCUCGGUUGUAACU
Molecule: ribosomal RNA, 391 nt
Filed under: uncultured bacterium
Lineage: Bacteria
Description: bacterial SSU rRNA
Rfam family: Bacterial small subunit ribosomal RNA
Source: RNAcentral